Molecule: ribosomal RNA, 497 nt
Filed under: uncultured bacterium
Lineage: Bacteria
Description: partial 16S ribosomal RNA
Rfam family: Bacterial small subunit ribosomal RNA
Source: RNAcentral
GAUGAACGCUGGCGGCGUGCCUAAUACAUGCAAGUCGAGCGAACGGACGAGAAGCUUGCUUCUCUGAUGUUAGCGGCGGACGGGAGAGUAACACGUGGAUAACCUACCUAUAAGACUGGGAUAACUUCGGGAAACCGGAGCUAAUACCGGAUGAUAUUUUGAACCGCAUGGUUCAAAAGUGAAAGACGGUCUUGCUGUCACUUAUAGAUGGAUCCGCGCUGCAUUAGCUAGUUGGUAAGGUAACGGCUUACCAAGGCAACGAUGCAUAGCCGACCUGGGGGAGGGAUCGGCCACCCGGGAGCUGAGACACGGACCAGGCUCCUACGGGACGCAGCAGUAGGGUAUCUUCCGCAAUGGGCGAAAGCCUUACGGAGCAGCGCCGCGUGAGUUAUGAAGGUCCUCGGAUCGUAAAACUCUGUUAUUAGUUGUAAACAUAUGUGUAAGGAACUGUGCCCAUCGUGACGGUACCUAAUCAAAAAGCCCCGGCUAACUACGUG